This 289-nucleotide ribosomal RNA is filed under the name uncultured bacterium. RNAcentral's name for it is "partial 16S ribosomal RNA". It matches the Rfam family "Bacterial small subunit ribosomal RNA", at positions 521 to 809 of the family's 1533-position model. The record is from RNAcentral.
UAAUACGUAGGGGGCUAGCGUUGUCCGGAUUUAUUGGGCGUAAAGAGCGUGUAGGCGGCCAGAUAGGUCUGCUGUGAAAACUCGAGGCUCAACCUCGAGCUGUCGGCGGAAACCAUUUGGCUAGAGUCCGGAAGAGGAAAGUGGAAUUCCUGGUGUAGCGGUGAAAUGCGCAGAUAUCAGGAAGAACACCCGUGGCGAAGGCGGCUUUCUGGGACGGUACUGACGCUGAGACGCGAAAGCGUGGGGAGCGAACAGGAUUAGAUACCCUGGUAGUCCACGCUGUAAACGA